RNAcentral lists this ribosomal RNA (1409 nucleotides) under uncultured bacterium. RNAcentral's name for it is "bacterial SSU rRNA". It matches the Rfam family "Bacterial small subunit ribosomal RNA". The record is from RNAcentral.
AGAGUUUGAUCAUGGCUCAGGACGAACGCUGAGCGGCGUGCCUAAUACAUGCAAGUAGAACGCUGAAGAGAGGAGCUUGCUCUUCUUGGAUGAGUUGCGAACGGGUGAGUAACGCGUAGGUAACCUGCCUUGUAGCGGGGGAUAACUAUUGGAAACGAUAGCUAAUACCGCAUAACAAUAGGUGACACAUGUCAUUUAUUUGAAAGGGGCAAUUGCUCCACUACAAGAUGGACCUGCGUUGUAUUAGCUAGUAGGUGAGGUAACGGCUCACCUAGGCGACGAUACAUAGCCGACCUGAGAGGGUGAUCGGCCACACUGGGACUGAGACACGGCCCAGACUCCUACGGGAGGCAGCAGUAGGGAAUCUUCGGCAAUGGGGGCAACCCUGACCGAGCAACGCCGCGUGAGUGAAGAAGGUUUUCGGAUCGUAAAGCUCUGUUGUAAGUCAAGAACGAGUGUGAGAGUGGAAAGUUCACACUGUGACGGUAGCUUACCAGAAAGGGACGGCUAACUACGUGCCAGCAGCCGCGGUAAUACGUAGGUCCCGAGCGUUGUCCGGAUUUAUUGGGCGUAAAGCGAGCGCAGGCGGUUUGAUAAGUCUGAAGUUAAAGGCUGUGGCUCAACCAUAGUUCGCUUUGGAAACUGUCAAACUUGAGUGCAGAAGGGGAGAGUGGAAUUCCAUGUGUAGCGGUGAAAUGCGUAGAUAUAUGGAGGAACACCGGUGGCGAAAGCGGCUCUCUGGUCUGUAACUGACGCUGAGGCUCGAAAGCGUGGGGAGCGAACAGGAUUAGAUACCCUGGUAGUCCACGCCGUAAACGAUGAGUGCUAGGUGUUGGAUCCUUUCCGGGAUUCAGUGCCGCAGCUAACGCAUUAAGCACUCCGCCUGGGGAGUACGACCGCAAGGUUGAAACUCAAAGGAGUUGACGGGGGCCCGCACAAGCGGUGGAGCAUGUGGUUUAAUUCGAAGCAACGCGAAGAACCUUACCAGGUCUUGACAUCCCGAUGCUAUUUCUAGAGAUAGAAAGUUACUUCGGUACAUCGGUGACAGGUGGUGCAUGGUUGUCGUCAGCUCGUGUCGUGAGAUGUUGGGUUAAGUCCCGCAACGAGCGCAACCCCUAUUGUUAGUUGCCAUCAUUCAGUUGGGCACUCUAGCGAGACUGCCGGUAAUAAACCGGAGGAAGGUGGGGAUGACGUCAAAUCAUCAUGCCCCUUAUGACCUGGGCUACACACGUGCUACAAUGGUUGGUACAACGAGUUGCGAGUCGGUGACGGCAAGCUAAUCUCUUAAAGCCAAUCUCAGUUCGGAUUGUAGGCUGCAACUCGCCUACAUGAAGUCGGAAUCGCUAGUAAUCGCGGAUCAGCACGCCGCGGUGAAUACGUUCCCGGGCCUUGCACACACCGCCCGUCAA